GGGGAAUAUUGCACAAUGGGCGCAAGCCUGAUGCAGCCAUGCCGCGUGUAUGAAGAAGGCCUUCGGGUUGUAAAGUACUUUCAGCGGGGAGGAAGGGAGUAAAGUUAAUACCUUUGCUCAUUGACGUUACCCGCAGAAGAAGCACCGGCUAACUCCGUGCCAGCAGCCGCGGUAAUACGGAGGGUGCAAGCGUUAAUCGGAAUUACUGGGCGUAAAGCGCACGCAGGCGGUUUGUUAAGUCAGAUGUGAAAUCCCCGGGCUCAACCUGGGAACUGCAUCUGAUACUGGCAAGCUUGAGUCUCGUAGAGGGGGGUAGAAUUCCAGGUGUAGCGGUGAAAUGCGUAGAGAUCUGGAGGAAUACCGGUGGCGAAGGCGGCCCCCUGGACGAAGACUGACGCUCAGGUGCGAAAGCGUGG
Molecule: ribosomal RNA, 416 nt
Filed under: Escherichia coli
Lineage: Bacteria; Pseudomonadati; Pseudomonadota; Gammaproteobacteria; Enterobacterales; Enterobacteriaceae
Description: bacterial SSU rRNA
Rfam family: Bacterial small subunit ribosomal RNA
Source: RNAcentral